UAUAAAGGACCUUUCCAGCAAGAACGUAACAAAUAUGUUCAAUUUAAAAUGAAGAACUGUGCAAUAGGCAGGUAGGAGUUUAGAACUGAUCUGUGGGCAGGGGAAAUUGACUGCCAUAGCUACUUUGCUGUUCAGAUUUUUAACAAUAAAACUAAUUACUCAAGAUUAAUUUUUUUCCACUAAACCUCCACACAUGUUUGACAAAACCUAGAGUUUCAGCUCUUCCAAUCAUUUAUCCUCUGGAGAUUCAGCAACAGCUCUUUCUUUGAAUAUAUCUGGCUCACAAUGUUAAGCCAGGAUAGCAAAGAUGAUGUUAACAUACCAGGCUGUGGAGUCUAAAGAAACCCAUGGUAAAUUCAGUGCAAAUCCUCCCAUGUUAAUUCAUUGUUAACGUGGUAAAUGAAACAUACAAAAGAGAAGAGAUCUGGAAUUCAAGCUCCUGCUCUGUUCUUAUUUGUUCUGGUGUAAAUCUGGAGUAACUCUACUGAAGUCUGUUCCUCAGCUGGUAUAAAUCAGUUGUACCAGCUGAAGAUGUGGCCCAUAAUGCCAAAACUAGUGUGAGUGAGAAGAGAAUCAGGACCAAAGCACCUACGGCAACUGUACUCCUCCGCCUUUUAUGGGAUGCAUUACUUUUGCAUAGAGUUUUCAUGACACAGUCACAUAACAUGGGAAUGUGACAUGGCAUAUGGAUGAUGUUGAAGAGGUCAUGUUCAGUAGUGUCCCCCACCAGGCCAGGACCCUGUUGUGGUAGGCACUGUACAGAUAUAGAUAGAUAGAUAGAUAGUCCUUGUCCCAAGUAGCUAUUUAGACUGUAAGCUAAUAGUUAACAGGCAGAUGAGAUGGACAGAUUAGUGGAAGAAUGGGACCGUUAGGCAAGACAGGAAGUUUUAGCCUAAGUUAACUGUGUGCACAAUAAAGUAGUCAUGCUAAUGACUUGUCAAUGCUAAUUAAUAGUUCUUAUUUUGAUCUGCAAACAGUAGUUUUUAUCACAAUUCUGAAAUUAAAUCAGAGUGUUUUUAUUUCCAAAUCUAUUAUCAAGCAUCCCUUUUGAGUUUGCUGAAUUAUGUUUUCUAAAACACCAUAUUUUGGAUAUGACGUACUUGAAAUGGGAUUGUCUUUCUGUCGAGCAGGCAUGUCUGUAUUGCAGUAAGCUCUACAAAGGUUUUUGUGUUUACUUAGUACUAAACAAAACUGCAUUUUUAUGACUGUUAUAAAUACAUGGCGCCAAGAUUUUCAGAAGUGACUAGUGAUUUUGGGCACCCAACUUCUGCGUCAUUGUAAAAGGGCCUGGUCAAAUCAGGCCCCUUUAAGUUGUCUCGGGUGAGGCACCCACUAAUGACUUGGGAAAGUCUUGGCUCUGAUUUAUUAUACAAGGGGAAUAACCUAUACCAGUAAAAGGCACCUUUAUCCUGGCAUAGCUGCAUCCUCACUACAGGUUGUAAAGUAUAACUAUUUUAGGUAAAAAAAAACCCACACCCUUAACAGGACUAGUUAUACUGGUACAAAAUUUUCAGCCUGCUCUUAACUAGGCCCCCCUUUUUCCACUUAAAGUUUUGCAUUCACAGUUAUUUGUGGACACAAUUUAGAUCUUUACAUGUUUCUGUACCUGAUCUGUGCGAACAGUCACGUAUUGAGAUGUCUAAAUGACUUAAAAUAUGCCUUAACUUACAACUCUGUAUCUCAUUCUGAAUAUUCUGAGCCAUCCAGGCCCCCUGAAUUCCGCAAUCCUUUAACUGGAUUCUCCAGAGGGAAAAGAGGGAAGGAAUGAUCUGAUGGGUAAGGCAAUGGACUGGGGUGCAGAAGAGCUCCAUUCUAUUCCUGGCUCUGCCACGGGCCUGCUGUGUGACCAUAGGGAAAGGACUUCACAUCUCUGCUUCUCCUUCUACCGAACAGAGAUAUGUCCUUUGGCAUCAAAUAAAUCCCUCUGCAGGAAAACCCCACAGAGGGGAUUGGGAACUCUGUGAUGGCAUAUAUGGAAUUCACCUCCCACUCGAAAUGCGGAAAGGAUGCUGUAUAUGCACAAUGUAAAGGGUGCCCAGAGAAUGCAAGCAGGAAACAGGCAUAUGGAUGGGACUGCAGCAGAAUAAUUUAAACAAAGAAGAAUGCCAGGAGGAAUCAGAGGAUGCUGAAGAUAAUCCACUUUACCACUGCCAUAGCCACUCAAUGGCCUAUGAGAGCAGAAAAAUAGAACAAUGUCAAGCUAAGCGGAAGCUCUAUGCAGCAUCAAUAAUUUGUCUCAU
Molecule: long non-coding RNA, 2240 nt
Organism: Trachemys scripta elegans
Lineage: Eukaryota; Metazoa; Chordata; Testudines; Emydidae
Exons: 4
Source: RefSeq, a predicted model, not a curated record